GGCUACGUAGCUCAGCUGGUUAGAGCACAUCACUCAUAAUGAUGGGGUCGGUGGUUCGAAUCCACCCGUAGCCACCA
RNAcentral lists this transfer RNA (77 nucleotides) under Spiribacter vilamensis. RNAcentral describes it as "Halopeptonella vilamensis tRNA-Met". It matches the Rfam family "tRNA". Rfam says of the family: Transfer RNA (tRNA) molecules are approximately 80 nucleotides in length. Their secondary structure includes four short double-helical elements and three loops (D, anti-codon, and T loops). The record is from RNAcentral. Lineage: Bacteria; Pseudomonadati; Pseudomonadota; Gammaproteobacteria; Chromatiales; Ectothiorhodospiraceae. RNAcentral also lists the same sequence under 18 other names.